Molecule: transfer RNA, 68 nt
Filed under: Calameuta filiformis
Lineage: Eukaryota; Metazoa; Arthropoda; Insecta; Hymenoptera; Cephidae
Description: tRNA-Gly
Source: RNAcentral
AUUUAUAUAAUAUAAAAAGUAUAUUUAACUUCCAAUUAAAAAGACUGAUUAAUAUAUCAGUAUAAAUA